GAAGAAUAUUAACUGGAGCUUGGGUCUUCAUAUUGGGCAUCGUUUCCUGGCUCCAAAGGGGAAGAUGGUGCACUGUUCAGCCUCAUGGAGAAGUUCUUCACAUUGGCUUUUCUGGUGGGAACUUGG
Molecule: long non-coding RNA, 126 nt
Organism: Octodon degus (degu)
Lineage: Eukaryota; Metazoa; Chordata; Mammalia; Rodentia; Octodontidae
Exons: 3
Source: RefSeq, a predicted model, not a curated record